UGAAUGCACCAUGGAAAACUCCCCAAAUGCAAAGGAAAUUAAAGGGGCUCCCUACUCUUUGUCUAUGGAUGAAGUUAUGGACAUUCUGAACCAAAUCCACCUCUUCUACUUAUUCAAAUUUUGUUCACCGUGAGGCCUCUAUAAGGAAAGAUGGAUUAAAGAAAAGGAUAGACUUAUUUAACACACGUUUUAUGUGACACGGGAACCUUCAUACGGAAAUGAAGACCUGAAGAAACAGGUUAAAACAAUGAAAAGAAAGCAACUAUUCUGUUGGACUGAACAAUUUAUUUGAAACUUUGACUUCACAAAGACUCAAGUAGCAUUCUUUCAUUUGUUUCAUGGUGUUAGUUGGUUUAACCUUUUUUGACUUGUCCGAGCACAGUGAAUUCACUGCCCACGGGGAGUUUGCUGACCAUCUGCUCUAUGUCAUGUAGAAAAGCCACAGGGCCUUUCUUCCUUUCCUGGUGUCCGUAGUUCCAGAAGGAUUUAGUCAAGAUAAAAUUGCCUCCCAUCUUGAGUUGAUGUGUUUGAAUGUAAGAGUUACCUUUGGAGGGGAAAAGAAAUAACUUUUUUUUUUUUAAUCUAUCAUUAA
RNAcentral lists this long non-coding RNA (592 nucleotides) under Homo sapiens (human). RNAcentral's name for it is "HSALNT0329236". Lineage: Eukaryota; Metazoa; Chordata; Mammalia; Primates; Hominidae. The record is from RNAcentral.